GAUGAACACUGGCGGCGUGCCUAAUACAUGCAAGUCGAGCGAACGGACGCGUAGUUUGCUUUUCUGACGUUAGCGGCGCACGGGAGAGUAACACGUGGGAACUCUCCCUCAAAGCCUGAUAUAACUUCGGGACACCGGCUCUAACCCCGGAUAAUAUUUUGAUCCGUAUGGUUCUAGAGUGAAAUACGGUCUUACUUUCACUUAUAGAUGGAUCCGCGCUGCAUUAGCUAGUUGGUAAGGUAACGGGUUACCAAGGCAACGAUGCAUAGCCGACCUGAGAGGGUGAUCGGCCACACUGGAGCUGAGACACGGUCCAGACUCCUACGGGAGGCAGCAGUAGGGAAUCUUACGCAGUGGGCGAAAACCUGGCGGAGCAACGCCGCGUGAGUGAUGACGGUCUUCGGAUCGUAAAACUCUGUUAUUAGGGAAGAACAUAUUUGUAAGUAGCUGAGCACAAAUUGACGGUACCUAGUCAGGAAGCCACGGCUAACUACGUG
Molecule: ribosomal RNA, 497 nt
Filed under: uncultured bacterium
Lineage: Bacteria
Description: partial 16S ribosomal RNA
Rfam family: Bacterial small subunit ribosomal RNA
Source: RNAcentral